Molecule: ribosomal RNA, 893 nt
Filed under: Mycolicibacterium palauense
Lineage: Bacteria; Bacillati; Actinomycetota; Actinomycetes; Mycobacteriales; Mycobacteriaceae
Description: bacterial SSU rRNA
Rfam family: Bacterial small subunit ribosomal RNA
Source: RNAcentral
GGUACACGAGUGGCGAACGGGUGAGUAACACGUGGGUGAUCUGCCCUGCACUUUGGGAUAAGCCUGGGAAACUGGGUCUAAUACCGAAUAGGACUCCGGACUGCAUGGUCUGGGGUGGAAAGCUUUUGCGGUGUGGGAUGGGCCCGCGGCCUAUCAGCUUGUUGGUGGGGUGAUGGCCUACCAAGGCGACGACGGGUAGCCGGCCUGAGAGGGUGUCCGGCCACACUGGGACUGAGAUACGGCCCAGACUCCUACGGGAGGCAGCAGUGGGGAAUAUUGCACAAUGGGCGCAAGCCUGAUGCAGCGACGCCGCGUGAGGGAUGACGGCCUUCGGGUUGUAAACCUCUUUCAGCGCCGACGAAGGGUAACUGACGGUAGGCGCAGAAGAAGCACCGGCCAACUACGUGCCAGCAGCCGCGGUAAUACGUAGGGUGCGAGCGUUGUCCGGAAUUACUGGGCGUAAAGAGCUCGUAGGUGGUUUGUCGCGUUGUUCGUGAAAACUCACAGCUUAACUGUGGGCGUGCGGGCGAUACGGGCAGACUGGAGUACUGCAGGGGAGACUGGAAUUCCUGGUGUAGCGGUGGAAUGCGCAGAUAUCAGGAGGAACACCGGUGGCGAAGGCGGGUCUCUGGGCAGUAACUGACGCUGAGGAGCGAAAGCGUGGGGAGCGAACAGGAUUAGAUACCCUGGUAGUCCACGCCGUAAACGGUGGGUACUAGGUGUGGGUUUCCUUCCUUGGGAUCCGUGCCGUAGCUAACGCAUUAAGUACCCCGCCUGGGGAGUACGGCCGCAAGGCUAAAACUCAAAGGAAUUGACGGGGGCCCGCACAAGCGGCGGAGCAUGUGGAUUAAUUCGAUGCAACGCGAAGAACCUUACCUGGGUUUGACAUGCAC